Hibiscus syriacus is the source of this 234-nucleotide long non-coding RNA. RefSeq lists it as uncharacterized. The transcript is spliced from 3 exons. The record is from RefSeq and is a predicted model, not a curated record. Lineage: Eukaryota; Viridiplantae; Streptophyta; Magnoliopsida; Malvales; Malvaceae.
ACCCAUUUAAAGAUGUCGGAAUUUAUGGGAAGGAUCUUGUCACGGCUUAAAACAGAAAGCUACUGACAGCCCUCAUGUUUUUGCUAUAGCAGACACUGCUUAUAAUGAGAUGAUGAAUGGUUGAGUAAAUCAGUCUCUGAUCAUAAGUGGGGAAUAUGGAGCUGGGAAAACCGAGACAGCAAAAUUUGCUAUGCAGUAGCUGGUUUCUGUUGGAGGUGUCAAUGAUGAGAUAGA